RNAcentral lists this long non-coding RNA (381 nucleotides) under Lathyrus oleraceus (garden pea). RNAcentral's name for it is "Pisum sativum (pea) long non-coding RNA (PSAT_LNC028122)". The record is from RNAcentral. Lineage: Eukaryota; Viridiplantae; Streptophyta; Magnoliopsida; Fabales; Fabaceae.
UAUUGCUAUAUAUGGAAACUUAAAUUUAUUUCAAAGUACCUCUGUUGCAAUAUAUGGAAAAUUAAUUUUACUUCAUAGUAGACGGCUGUGACGAAAAGACAGUUGUUCAUAAAAAAUAACACAAACAAUUAAAACAACUAGAAUACAAAAACUUUGCGAUUACAACCAUCAAAACAAUUUUGAACAUGUACUGCAUCAUCCUACGAGCGUCUUGGUCGGUCUUAAUAUCCACCCAUUCACGCACUUCUCCGUUUUGGCUGAACGUGGACACAAGCCAUUGUAUUCUUCUAAUCCGUUCACCCUCUCCAAUUUCUCCCUCUAACCAACUAUACAACGUCCGAUUAAGACGUUCAAACGUAUCUGUGUUCCAAAGUCGAACCU